GAGAGAGAGGGAGGUAACAGCCGCUCCGGCCACGAGGAGUCCGGUUCCGGCCGAGCCUUCAUGAAAUCUUCACAGAACUUAGAGAAGAACAUUCUUAACUUUUAGAUCGUCCAAAACCAUCCAGAAACGAGGAAAAAUCUAAAGGUAAAGUUCUUGAAUCCAGAUUCUCGAAAUUGCUUUAGAUCUGUGAGAUAUAGUAAGAGUUAGAGCCUGAAAUUUGAGUAUGUUAAUCUACAGAGGAUUACGCUCAAAACCUGUGAAGGAGGUUGUAUUCCUCAAAGAGGAGAAAGGAGGAGGAGGAUGAGCUUCGCCGGAGAAGAAGGGCCACGUGUCAAGCGUCCAUUGGAGACGAAAAAAUCAAAGAAAUACUUCGCGUCGGGUGGGAUUCGAUGGCCGGCGGCCCGCUACUCGAGUUCGCGACCCGAUGACCCGCGCGCAACCCGGACCACCGACCCGGCUUCUCGUUGCCACGCGUCAGCGUAAACAAACUCGAAUUUCCAGCGCGCCCUUCCGGUUUCGAACCAACGACCUCGACCUUGGCUGACCGUUUAUCGGGCGCCACGUGGCAACACCUCAGCGCGCGUCUCCCCUCCCUCAUGCGCGUCCGUACGCGCGCGUGGCCGUGCGCGUGUAGCACCUUCCCCAGGCGCGUGUGAGCGCGUGAGGGUUUAAAUGAGAAAAUUCAGCAUUUGUGGACACUCUAUUGGUGUAGAAAUGCUCAACGAAGAACACGCGUCAAUCGGGUAAGUCACCACCCGGUAUUUAGGAAGAAAUACUUGUAGGGUUCGCUUGGAUUGUAUGUAUGCAUGUUAGUAAUUUUGCCUUAAAUUAGCUCUCCAUGAAUGAGAUUAAUUAGAUGGAUUGUUAUGAUGUGUUGGGUGAAUUUUCUGAGUGUUGCUUGUAUGCCUUAAGCUUCCGUUGUACGUAUGCAUGCGUUUAAUUUAUGUUAGAGUUGUGUAUGCCGGGUUUCGGGUGCUUGAUGGACGAAUUCGUCCCAUUGAGCGCGAACUUCGUGCUCUGGGUGCUUGAUGGAGGUCAUCGCCCCGUUGAGCCGGUAUGCCUAGUUUGCAUGAAUUACAUACUAUGAUGUUAGAAGAAGAUUGCAUGCACCCUCUGUUCAUUGCUAGGGCCCAUUUCUAUGAUAAGAUUAGGGAAUUUCUGUUAGGAGCGAUAUGUCGCUCUGGACAGACUUAAUUUUACCCUAGAAACUUAGCGGUUUACCACGG
Molecule: non-coding RNA, 1226 nt
Organism: Cucurbita pepo subsp. pepo (vegetable marrow)
Lineage: Eukaryota; Viridiplantae; Streptophyta; Magnoliopsida; Cucurbitales; Cucurbitaceae
Source: RefSeq, a predicted model, not a curated record